UUCCCGGUUGAUCCUGCCGGACCUGACUGCUAUCGGAUUGGUACUAAGCCAUGUGAGUCAUUGUAGCAAUACAAGGCAGACGGCUCAGUAACACGUAGUCAAUCUACCCUAUGGACGGGGAUAACCUCGGGAAACUGAGGAUAAAACCCGAUAGAUCAUAAUGCCUGGAAUGGUUUAUGGUCCAAAUGAUUCGUCGCCGUAGGAUGGGACUGCGGCCUAUCAGCUUGUUGGUGAGGUAAUGGCCCACCAAGGCUAUUACAGGUACGGGCUCUGAGAGGAGGAGCCCGGAGAUGGACACUGAGACAAGGGUCCAGGUCCUAUGGGACGCAGCAGGCGCGAAAACUUCGCAAUGGGCGAAAGCCCGACGAGGUUAGUCCGAGUGUUUUCUGCUAAAGGAAUCUUUUGUCAGCUCUAAAUAGGCUGGCGAAUAAGGGGUGGGCAAGCCUGGUGUCAGCCGCCGCGGUAAGACCAGCACCCCGAGUGGUCGGGAUGUUUAUUGGGCCUAAAGCAUCCGUAGCCGGUUCUGCAAGUCUUCCAUUAAAUCCACCUGCUCAACAGUUGGGCUGUGGGAGAAACUGCAUGACUAGGAGGCGGGAGAGGCGAGGGGUAUUCCUUGGGUAGUGGUAAAAUGCUCUGAUCCAUGGAGGACCACCAGUGGCGAAGGCGUCUCGCCAGAACGUGCUCGACGGUGAGGGAUGAAAGCUGGGGGAGCAAACCGGAUUAGAUACCCGGGUAGUCCCAGCCGUAAACGAUGCAGGCUCGUGAUGGAUUGGCUUCGAGCCAAUCCAGUGCCGCAGGGA
RNAcentral lists this ribosomal RNA (800 nucleotides) under uncultured crenarchaeote. Its description in RNAcentral is "bacterial SSU rRNA". It matches the Rfam family "Archaeal small subunit ribosomal RNA", at positions 1 to 809 of the family's 1478-position model. The record is from RNAcentral. Lineage: Archaea; Thermoproteati; Thermoproteota.